CGCUCGUAGUCGGGUUUCGGGUCGGGCCGAGCGGUCUGCCGAUGGGUAUGCACUGUUUGGCGCGGCCUUCUUUCCGGAGACCGCGGCUACUCUUAACUGAGCGGGCGUGGGAGACGGAUCGUUUACUUUGAAAAAAUCAGAGUGUUUCAAGCAGGCAGCUCGCUCUUGCAUGGUACAGCAUGGGAUGAUUGAAUAGGACUCCGGUGCUAUUUUGUUGGUUUCGAACACCAGGAGUAAUGAUUAACAGGGACAGUCAGGGGCACUCGUAUUCCGUCGAGAGAGGUGAAAUUCUCAGACCAAUGGAAGACGAACCACUGCGAAAGCAUUUGCCAGGGAUGUUUUCACUGAUCAAGAACGAAAGUUAGGGGAUCGAAGACGAUCAGAUACCGUCGUAGUCUUAACCAUAAACCAUGCCGACUAGGGAUUGGAGGGUGUUCGUUUCGACCUCUUCAGCACCUUACGGGAAACUAAAGUCUUUGGGUUCCGGGGGGAGUAUGGUCGCAAGGCUGAAACUUAAAGGAAUUGACGGAAGGGCACCACCAGGAGUGGAGCCUGCGGCUUAAUUUGACUCAACACGGGGAAACUUACCAGGUCCAGACAUUGUUAGGAUUGACAGAUUGAGAGCUCUUUCUUGAUUCGAUGGGUGGUGGUGCAUGGCCGUUCUUAGUUGGUGGAGUGAUUUGUCUGGUUAAUUCCGAUAACGAACGAGACCGUAGCCUGCUAAAUAGUCCCGCGAACUUCUUGUUGGCGGCCGACUUCUUAGAGGGACAACUUGUGACCAACAAGUGGAAGUUUGCGGCAAUAACAGGUCUGUGAUGCCCUUAGAUGUUCUGGGCCGCACGCGCGCUACACUGAAGCACUCAACGAGUCCACCUCGACC
The sequence is a ribosomal RNA, 880 nucleotides long. It matches the Rfam family "Eukaryotic small subunit ribosomal RNA", at positions 625 to 1534 of the family's 1831-position model.